AUCAUCGGCGUCCGCGGGCGUUUACGGUCGGUCGACGCUAUCGACCGAGCGCUUACCGCGCGCCCCACCGCCGUACUAAGCGCUCGGGAGAGGGCGCUGGAACGAUUUAACGGACACAUUCUCCGCCCACGAGGAGCGGGGACGCCCGCGGCGCCCGCCGCCCCGGGGUGCGGAGGGGCCGGGGCCGGUCGCACCCGUCUCCGGAGAGGGGCCGGAGACCCACGGGAGGGAGACCCCGGAGGCCUUCGGGGGCGCGGCGCGCUGCAGCGACGCCACCCCCCGGUAGCCCUCCCCCGCCUCCUGGGCUCGAGGCCUUGGGGCGCCCCGGCGAGGGCGGGAGCCGCUGGGGAGUCCAGUGGGGCCUACUGGAAAAUCCGACCAGUCAUCCCGAGUCGUUCCCGAGUUCCUCCCUCCAGCUGUGCAUUCUCCCGUCCCCUCCCACGGGCCCAGCGGCUCGGCUCCGGCCGGCGGGCCCGGCCCCGGCUCCUCCCCCAGUUCCAGGCUCUUGGGGCUCAGGGGCGCAGAGGAGGAGGAGGAGGGGCAGUGGAGGAGGAGAGAGGAGGAGGAAGGCAGGACGGAGGAGAAAAAGGACGAGGAGGAGCGGGAGGAGAAGGAGGGAAAGGAGCCGGAGGAGGGGAGAAGGAAGGGCAGGGGAAGAGAGAGGAGGAGGAGGAGGAGAGGGAGGGGGCCGGACACCCGGGGCGGCCACCGGGCGGGCGGGCGGCCGACUGGGCCGAGAGGUCAUCGCGGGGCUCGGCGUCGGGGCCGGCCCCGCCUGCCCGCCCCGCUCCCCACAGGAAUGUGCGCCCGCGGGGGUCGCGGCCCCGAGCCCUCCCACGGUGCCCGGCCCCAAGGAGCCGCGGCGAUCCCGGCGAGGUGGGGGGCACCGCAGCGUGGGGGGAGGGGGAUGCCGAGGAAUGCUCCCGGGGAGGACGGAUGGUCAGGAUGCAGACAGACGCCCGCGCCCGCCCUCCCUCGGGCCUCCUUCCCCCCCAUUUUCCCAGCCACACGGGCGGCCCCGGGCCGGGGGUCUCCUCCUCCGGGGGAGCGGGGGUCCGGGGUGGGGGCGGGCGCGCGAAGGAGGGACGGGGGGGGGGGGGGGGGAGAGGUGUCUCGUCAGAGCGGCUCUCCGCGGACACGUGCCGUCCCGGCCAGGAAGGGCUGAGAGACGGCGUGUCCGGAGGAGGAGAGGAGACGCUCGAUUCCGGGCCCGGGUGCUCCGAGGAGCAGGCGGAGGCGAGGGGAAUUUCCACCCCCAUUCUCCAGAUGAGGAGACCGAGGCAAGGCCGGAGGGGCCGGAUGUCUAAGCCAGAUGUGCCCAGAGCGGGGUGGGUGGGGGGCAUGAUUUCUGAACGGCCCCCGUGGCUUGCCCCCGCCCGUGCCUCGGCUCCGCCCCGAUCCCGGGCCCGGCCCCUGCCCUUUCCUGACCUCCCGCCGAAGGACCCCCCCCCCCGCCGGGCCGCAGGUUUCCACGGCCGGGGCUCACGAUCGGGCCGGGGAAGCGAGGGGGAGUCCGAGGGAGUGAAGCUUCAAGGGCGGAGGCCCCAGGCUCGGGCAGGGGGGCGGCCCCAGCCCGCCGGGGGGCCCGGCGGUCUCCCGCUCGGCCGCCUGCCGCGGACCCGGCUAGAUUCCACGUGCAGACGACUUUCGCGGGGUGGCCCGCUUAAAGCGAGCCCGUUUGAUAAUAAUAAUGACGACGACGGUGUUCGUUGA
Molecule: long non-coding RNA, 1713 nt
Filed under: Ornithorhynchus anatinus (platypus)
Lineage: Eukaryota; Metazoa; Chordata; Mammalia; Monotremata; Ornithorhynchidae
Description: lncRNA (ENSOANG00000049572.1)
Source: RNAcentral